CCUACGGGUGGCAGCAGUGGGGAAUAUUGGACAAUGGGGGCAACCCUGAUCCAGCCAUGCCGCGUGUGUGAAGAAGGCCCUCGGGUUGUAAAGCACUUUCAGUGAGGAAGAACGCCUGGUGGUUAAUACCCAUCAGGAAAGACAUCACUCACAGAAGAAGCACCGGCUAACUCCGUGCCAGCAGCCGCGGUAAUACGGAGGGUGCGAGCGUUAAUCGGAAUUACUGGGCGUAAAGCGCGCGUAGGUGGCUUGAUAAGCCGGUUGUGAAAGCCCCGGGCUCAACCUGGGAACGGCAUCCGGAACUGUCAAGCUAGAGUGCAGGAGAGGAAGGUAGAAUUCCCGGUGUAGCGGUGAAAUGCGUAGAGAUCAGGAGGAAUACCAGUGGCGAAGGCGGCCUUCUGGACUGACACUGACACUGAGGUGCGAAAGCGUGGGUAGCAAACAGGAUUAGAUACCCUAGUAGUC
This 465-nucleotide ribosomal RNA is filed under the name Vreelandella stevensii. Its description in RNAcentral is "partial 16S ribosomal RNA". It matches the Rfam family "Bacterial small subunit ribosomal RNA", at positions 338 to 795 of the family's 1533-position model. The record is from RNAcentral. Lineage: Bacteria; Pseudomonadati; Pseudomonadota; Gammaproteobacteria; Oceanospirillales; Halomonadaceae.